Long non-coding RNA from Sus scrofa (pig), 837 nucleotides. RefSeq lists it as uncharacterized. Lineage: Eukaryota; Metazoa; Chordata; Mammalia; Artiodactyla; Suidae. The record is from RefSeq and is a predicted model, not a curated record.
UGCCCCCGCCCUUCCUCCUUCCCGCGUAGAAACUGAUCCACGUGUUUUCCAUUGUUUCGUUUUGCCGCUGGAGGUUUGCGGUGUUGGAUAUAUUUUGCUCAUCAGCCAGUGAGUGAUUUAGGAACAGUUCCUCUGCGGAUAGCCAGUUUCCAAUUUCAGUAUAGUCCAAAAUUUAAUCUGAAACCAAGUCCCAUGAUUUUUGUCUUGUAAAAUAAAGAAUGUUGUCCACCAUCCUGCUUUACAAGGAUCAAGUCAUUCCCUGCAGUUGUUGACUCACAGUACAACCUGGAAGGAAUUCAGGACGAAGAACAGGAGGAGGUGCUCUGAGCUUUUGGAGAACAGUUUCCGUGGACUGUUUUUACCCAUUAAGGAUAUUGCAGUGGUGUCCUAGAUUAAAGGAAAAAGAUUACAACUUUGGAUCGGAGUUCAUUUUGCACUUCCAUGGCAAAAAACAACUGAAGUUUCUUCAAUUUUACUGCCAAAGAAGUAUGAACAGAAGCAACAUCAGAAAAACUAACUACUGGAAUCAAGGUAUAAAGUAAAUCUUUGAAAAAAGUACAAUGCCUGUAUCUAAACAAAUGUAUUCCACAGGCUUCCCGCACCGAUGCAUUUACAGACUUGGUAAACUGAUGCCUCCUGAGACAUCAAGUAUCUUGUUCAGGUGGGGAGAGCCAAAAGUGCUAAUAUCCUGUGCAUGUAACUCUACAUCCCGCAUCAGCAACUUCCCAAUACAUGCAUGACAACUUACUUGGAAAAACAACGGAAAGGAAAAAGACAAUAUCAUAAGGUGGAUAACGUUACUAAAUCUUAGUAAAAACCACAACUAAAAAUUUUAAA